AAAUUGAAGAGUUUGAUCAUGGCUCAGAUUGAACGCUGGCGGCAGGCCUAACACAUGCAAGUCGAGCGGAAACGAGUUAUCUGAACCUUCGGGGAACGAUAACGGCGUCGAGCGGCGGACGGGUGAGUAAUGCCUAGGAAAUUGCCCUGAUGUGGGGGAUAACCAUUGGAAACGAUGGCUAAUACCGCAUGAUGCCUACGGGCCAAAGAGGGGGACCUUCGGGCCUCUCGCGUCAGGAUAUGCCUAGGUGGGAUUAGCUAGUUGGUGAGGUAAGGGCUCACCAAGGCGACGAUCCCUAGCUGGUCUGAGAGGAUGAUCAGCCACACUGGAACUGAGACACGGUCCAGACUCCUACGGGAGGCAGCAGUGGGGAAUAUUGCACAAUGGGCGCAAGCCUGAUGCAGCCAUGCCGCGU
This 415-nucleotide ribosomal RNA is filed under the name Vibrio alginolyticus. RNAcentral describes it as "bacterial SSU rRNA". It matches the Rfam family "Bacterial small subunit ribosomal RNA", at positions 1 to 402 of the family's 1533-position model. Lineage: Bacteria; Pseudomonadati; Pseudomonadota; Gammaproteobacteria; Vibrionales; Vibrionaceae. The record is from RNAcentral. RNAcentral also lists the same sequence under 2 other names.